RNAcentral lists this ribosomal RNA (470 nucleotides) under uncultured Methanomicrobiales archaeon. RNAcentral's name for it is "bacterial SSU rRNA". It matches the Rfam family "Archaeal small subunit ribosomal RNA", at positions 871 to 1337 of the family's 1478-position model. The record is from RNAcentral. Lineage: Archaea; Methanobacteriati; Methanobacteriota; Methanomicrobia; Methanomicrobiales.
ACGGGGAGCACCACAACAGGUGGAGCCUGCGGUUUAAUCGGACUCAACGCCGGGAAACUCACCAGAUAAGACAGCUGAAUGGUAGUCGGGCUGAAGACUCUACUUGACUAGCUGAGAGGAGGUGCAUGGCCGUCGUCAGUUCGUACUGUGAAGCAUCCUGUUAAGUCAGGCAACGAGCGAGACCCACGCCAACAGUUGCCAGCUCGUCCUCCGGGAUGGUGGGGACACUGUUGGGACCGCCUCUGCUAAAGAGGAGGAAGGAAUGGGCAACGGUAGGUCAGCAUGCCCCGAAUUAUCUGGGCUACACGCGGGCUACAAUGGGUGGGACAAUGGGUAUCGACACCGAAAGGUGAAGGCAAUCUCCUAAACCCAUCCGUAGUUCGGAUUGUGGGCUGCAACUCGCCCACAUGAAGCUGGAAUCUGUAGUAAUCGUGUCUCAAAAUGGCACGGUGAAUAUGUCCCUGCUCCUU